UACGAAGGGGGCUAGCGUUGCUCGGAAUCACUGGGCGUAAAGCGCACGUAGGCGGAUCUUUAAGUCAGGGGCGAAAUCCUGGAGCUCAACUCCAGAACUGCCUUUGAUACUGGGGAUCUCGAGUCCGGAAGAGGUGAGUGGAACUCCGAGUGUAGAGGUGAAAUUCGUAGAUAUUCGGAAGAACACCAGUGGCGAAGGCGGCUCACUGGUCCGGUACUGACGCUGAGGUGCGAAAGCGUGGGGAGCAAACAGG
Molecule: ribosomal RNA, 253 nt
Filed under: uncultured bacterium
Lineage: Bacteria
Description: partial 16S ribosomal RNA
Rfam family: Bacterial small subunit ribosomal RNA
Source: RNAcentral